RNAcentral lists this ribosomal RNA (460 nucleotides) under uncultured bacterium. RNAcentral's name for it is "partial 16S ribosomal RNA". It matches the Rfam family "Bacterial small subunit ribosomal RNA", at positions 338 to 795 of the family's 1533-position model. The record is from RNAcentral.
CCUACGGGUGGCAGCAGUGAGGAAUAUUGGUCAAUGGACGAGAGUCUGAACCAGCCAAGUAGCGUGAAGGAUGACUGCCCUAUGGGUUGUAAACUUCUUUUAUAAAGGAAUAAAACGAGGCACGUGUGCCUUUUUGCAUGUCCUUUAUGAAUCCGGCUCGGCUAACUCCGUGCCAGCAGCCGCGGUCAUCCGGAGGAUCCGAGCGUUAUCCGGAUUUAUUGGGUUUAAAGGGAGAGUAGAUGGGUUGGUAAGUCAGGUGUGAAAGUUUGCGGCUCAACCGUACAAUUGCAAUUGAUACUGGCAGUCUGGAGUACAGUUGAGGUAGGUGGAAUUCGUGGUGUAGCGGUGAAAUGCGUAGAUAUUACGAAGAACCCCGGUUGCGAAGGCAGCUUACUAGACUGUGACUGACAUUGAUGCUCGAAAGUGUGGGUAGCAAACAGGAUUAGAUACCCGAGUAGUC